Long non-coding RNA from Talpa occidentalis (Iberian mole), 477 nucleotides. RefSeq lists it as uncharacterized. The transcript is spliced from 4 exons. The record is from RefSeq and is a predicted model, not a curated record. NCBI's taxonomy places the organism in Eukaryota, Metazoa, Chordata, Mammalia, Eulipotyphla, Talpidae.
UUCUUGCCUUAGAAAGUAUUGACAUGCCCAAGUUGCUACUGUGUUCACUGGUUGCUAUUGGGGAGAGAAGCUUGUGGUUCCUAUGUCAUUAGCACUGAAAGGCAAAUAAAUGGCAUUUUCAGAUGUUUUCAAACAGACCUCAAAAAUGAUCCAUACCACUGUCAUUAUUGAGUUUGUGGAGUUGCCAUUUAGAGGAGCCCCACUAGGCAUGAAGGUUCAAAUAAGGUAAGGAGUGAUUGAAGUCGAUAGACUGAAUGGUUGACUCAGUUCAGACUCUUCACCACUCCCUAUAUCCUUGCCACAGCCUCAUGGUUAACUCAGGGCUCACCUGAUUAUCCAGAUCUGAUUCAGAACUGAAGACUUCCAGUUGAGUGAGUUUAUGUGAGAAAUACAGAAAUAUUUGUUUCCAAGAACUUCAUAGGGAGACAGAUAUAAAACCUACUGUGACCUUACCCAAAUGCCAUCCUUCUACUGAGU